Molecule: long non-coding RNA, 111 nt
Organism: Sapajus apella (tufted capuchin)
Lineage: Eukaryota; Metazoa; Chordata; Mammalia; Primates; Cebidae
Exons: 3
Source: RefSeq, a predicted model, not a curated record
CUGGAUAGACAUCUGUGGUGAGCAAAAAACAUAAAAAUAUUUGUGUCCCGUACAAAUGCUCACCAAAGGGUGACCUCAGCAGGGGAGGAUUUUAAUAAUUAAAUAGCUAGG